CAGGCCUAACACAUGCAAGUCGAGCGGUAACAGGGAUAGCUUGCUAUCUGCUGACGAGCGGCGGACGGGUGCGUAACGCGUAGGAAUUUGCCCAAUAGUGGGGGAUAGCCCGGAGAAAUUCGGAUUAAUACCGCAUACCUUCUAAGGAAGAAAGCAGGGGAUCUUCGGACCUUGCGCUAUCGGAUGAGCCUGCGUCGGAUUAGCUAGUUGGUAGGGUAAAUGCCUACCAAGGCGACGAUCCGUAGCUGGUCUGAGAGGAUGAUCAGCCACACUGGGACUGAGACACGGCCCAGACUCCUACGGGAGGCAGCAGUGGGGAAUAUUGCACAAUGGGCGCAAGCCUGAUGCAGCCAUGCCGCGUGUGUGAAGAAGGCCCUAGGGUUGUAAAGCACUUUCAGCGAGGAGGAAGGGUAUCUUGCUAAUAUCAAGGUACAUUGACGUUACUCGCAGAAGAAGCACCGGCUAACUCCGUGCCAGCAGCCGCGGUAAUACGGAGAGUGCAAGCGUUAAUCGGAAUUACUGGGCGUAAAGCGUGCGUAGGCGGUUAAAUAAGUUGGAUGUGAAAGCCCUGGGCUCAACCUAGGAACUGCACCCAAAACUGUUUAACUAGAGUACGAGAGAGGAGUGUGGAAUUUCCUGUGUAGCGGUGGAAUGCGUAGAUAUAGGAAGGAACACCAGUGGCGAAGGCGGCACUCUGGCUCGAUACUGACGCUGAGGUACGAAAGCAUGGGUAGCAAACAGGAUUAGAUA
RNAcentral lists this ribosomal RNA (750 nucleotides) under uncultured bacterium. Its description in RNAcentral is "bacterial SSU rRNA". It matches the Rfam family "Bacterial small subunit ribosomal RNA", at positions 43 to 784 of the family's 1533-position model. The record is from RNAcentral.